RNAcentral lists this long non-coding RNA (953 nucleotides) under Mytilus galloprovincialis (Mediterranean mussel). Lineage: Eukaryota; Metazoa; Mollusca; Bivalvia; Mytilida; Mytilidae. The record is from RNAcentral.
UUCUCAUUAUGUACUUAGGUACUUUGACUGAACAGAUUUGUAUUGUCUUCCUAGAACCUUUCCAUUGUCCACUGAGAGGGUUUAAAACAUUUUGUUAAGACAUCUGUUGCUUGUUUAAACCAUGUAUUUUAUGUAUCUCAUUUUUAUAUGUGUCUUCAAGUUGCUGUCAUUGAUAUUAAGGCUAAAUAAAAAUUAUGUGUGUUUUCUAUUCCCCUACCUACCCUAUUUUUUAAGCUUAGAAAUAGCCUAAUGUUACCUUAAAGUUUGUUUGGUCAUUUUUCAAUAAGCACUGUUAAAGUCAGAAUUUCUCUUCCGUAGACUCAAUGUAGAACAAAAUUGUAAAAUUAAAAAAAUUCCCUACCUACCUACAAUAUUAUUUUCAAAGAUAUCAUAGGAAACACACAUAUUAUUUUAUUUGAUCUUAUUUUGUAUAUUAUUUUUUAUAUUAUUUUGUAUAUUAUUUUUUUGUUUAUUUACUGUUUUUGUUGUCGUUAUACUGUUGUCUUGUUCAUGUUUUUUGUGUACAUAAUGUAUAUUUCUUCGUUUGUUCUUAUCCGUAUGUACUUAUAGGUGCUUUGACUGAACACAUUUUUAUUGUCCUUCUAGAACCUUUCCAUUGUCCACUGAGAGGGUUUAAAACAUUUUGUUAAGACAUCUGUUUCUUGUUAAAACCAUGUACUUAUCUUAUUUUUAUAUGUGUAUUGACAUUUAGGGCAAAUAAAAAAUUAUGUGUUUUCUAUUUAGCUACCUAGCCUAUGUUUUAAGCUUAGAAAUAGCUUACCGUUAAUUUUUGGGUCAUUUUUCAAUAAGUACUCUUAAAGUCAGAAUUCUCUCCCAUUGACUUAAUGUUAAAAAAAGUUCCCUAACCUAGAUCUAGAUGUGAUAGGAAACACACAUAAUUUUAUUCAGCCUUAUUUUGUUAAAAAAAUUUGUUAUCUAUUUUACUGUUUUUG